GUGCGAGCGUUGUCCGGAAUUACUGGGCGUAAAGAGCUCGUAGGUGGUUUGUCGCGUUGUUCGUGAAAUCUCACGGCUUAACUGUGAGCGUGCGGGCGAUACGGGCAGACUUGAGUACUGCAGGGGAGACUGGAAUUCCUGGUGUAGCGGUGGAAUGCGCAGAUAUCAGGAGGAACACCGGUGGCGAAGGCGGGUCUCUGGGCAGUAACUGACGCUGAGGAGCGAAAGCGUGGGGAGCGAACAGGAUUAGAUACCCUGGUAGUCCACGCCGUAAACGGUGGGUACUAGGUGUGGGUUUCCUUCCUUGGGAUCCGUGCCGUAGCUAACGCAUUAAGUACCCCGCCUGGGGAGUACGGCCGCAAGGCUAACACUCAAAGAAAUUGACGGGGGCCCGCACAAGCGGCGGAGCAUGUGGAUUAAUUCGAUGCAACGCGAAGAACCUUACCUGGGUUUGACAUGCACAGGACGCCGGCAGAGAUGUCGGUUCCCUUGUGGCCUGUGUGCAGGUGGUGCAUGGCUGUCGUCAGCUCGUGUCGUGAGAUGUUGGGUUAAGUCCCGCAACGAGCGCAACCCUUGUCUCAUGUUGCCAGCGGGUAAUGCCGGGGACUCGUGAGAGACUGCCGGGGUCAACUCGGAGGAAGGUGGGGAUGACGUCAAGUCAUCAUGCCCCUUAUGUCCAGGGCUUCACACAUGCUACAAUGGCCGGUACAAAGGGCUGCGAUGCCGCGAGGUUAAGCGAAUCCUUUUAAAGCCGGUCUCAGUUCGGAUCGGGGUCUGCAACUCGACCCCGUGAAGUCGGAGUCGCUAGUAAUCGCAGAUCAGC
This 823-nucleotide ribosomal RNA is filed under the name uncultured Mycobacterium sp. RNAcentral describes it as "bacterial SSU rRNA". It matches the Rfam family "Bacterial small subunit ribosomal RNA", at positions 532 to 1353 of the family's 1533-position model. The record is from RNAcentral. Lineage: Bacteria; Bacillati; Actinomycetota; Actinomycetes; Mycobacteriales; Mycobacteriaceae.